RNAcentral lists this long non-coding RNA (2776 nucleotides) under Mus caroli (Ryukyu mouse). Its description in RNAcentral is "predicted gene 15880 (MGP_CAROLIEiJ_G0004043.1)". Lineage: Eukaryota; Metazoa; Chordata; Mammalia; Rodentia; Muridae. The record is from RNAcentral.
AGGCCACACUUCCUGCUGCAGGCUGACAGAGCUCCUUGGACAGCCCUGCAUUCCUCUGCACCCAGCACAGCUGUCCCCUACUUCCCUGAUAAGGAUUUUGGUAAAUCUGUAAAGACUGACCCCUGAUAUUGAACCUACUUCAGCCGAGGAAGAGAAAAAGUUGACUGAAGGGCCCAUGGACAUGAGGAUAUACUACAUCCUCAGAGUGCGGUCCUCUGUUAAACAGCUUCUAGCCCAGCUGCAGUGCCCUCAAAGCAGUCCCUGUCUCCGGAGGGCAUCUGCUCAGAUGCCAGGCUGCUAAAGAUUUACAAUCAGUUGUCCCCACAAGGAACCAAGCUACCCAGAGAGAACAGGUCUGGGGAACCAGAUUCUUUUGGGGAUUGGGGACACCAGGGUCUCAGUACAAGUUUUAGGCAAGGACUCUGCCCCUAAACUUUAUUCCCUCAUCCAGGAUCUGAAUGCUCUGAGACUUCUGAACACAAGAGCCAUCCUUCAAAUGCUAACUUCUCCAGGAAGUGGUCAGUCACACACUCUACCAACAGCCCAGAUCUCUCCAGAGCUGCCCACUGCAGUCAACGCCCCAAGGGCUGGGUGCCUGGCACUUCAGUGGAGGUCACUGUGCGCCACCCUCUCACCUGGCACUAACUUGUCACUUUGCACUUCCUCAGGCACUGGCCCCAUGGGGCUGCCUAACCCCAGUGUUUGGGCCCCCCCUUGAGCACUUUCCCUUUCCCCUCUCCCCCUGGGCCACACGCAAUGCUGGUUAUGAUGACCCCGAUGACCCCGUGUCUCCCACACCCUCCUUAACUCCCUUCACUUUCCCCUCCGUAUCUGAAACGGCCUUGGGAUUUGCUGUUUUUUGAUUGUUUUGAGUCAAAGUCCCACUUGAGUAGCCCAGGCUGGUCUGAAACUUACCGGAUCCACAUGGUGUGACACCAUGGUGAGCUAUAACUGAUUUUUGGUCUUUAUUCUUGUCACCUCUACAUUGCUUCUACACUGCAGUCAGAAGAAGCCCCUGAAACAUGAGUCUAAUGGCACUGCUUAGCAGUGCAAACGUUAUUAACAACACUGCUUUUAAAAAUACUUCUGUCUUGGUUACUUUUCUCUUGCUGUGAUAAGACACCAUGACCAAGGCAACUUAAGAAGACAGCGUUUACUGGUGGUUUAGUUUCAAAGGGCUCAGUUCCAUGCCCAUCUUGGCCAGGAGCACGGCAGCAGGCAGACAGGCCUGGUGCUACAUCAGUAACUAAGAGUAUAUUUAGAGCCACAGUGGGAGGCAGAGAGUUAAGUGUAAAUUGUCUGGGCUCUUGGAACCUCCAAGUCUGGCCCUAUUGGCAAACGUCCUUAAACAAAAUCAUACCAUCUAAUCCUUCUCUCCAACUGUUCCAAUAACUGGGGACCCAGGAUUCAAAUACACCAGCCUAUGGGGGCCAUUCUCAUUCAAACCUCUAAAACCCCAAAUGAGCCUAAAAUAAAAAUAAGAUAAACCUAAAAACCAUCGUGGAAAUAGACAUUCAAUAGCCUGGGGGUGGGAGCUAGGAACUGAAAAGCCACAUGAAAAUAAAUCAAUAUGUAUAAGUGUAAUAUAAACCUAUAGUAAUUAGUCAAACAGUGUGGCACUGCUACAGGGGUAGACAGAUCAACGAAGAGGAAGCCAGGGGUGGCACAUGCCUGCAACUCAAGCACUGCACCACUGUGCGACAGUCCCACACCCCACAUGUUUUUAAAUUUGCAUGAAAAAUUUCUAAAACAUAACACUCAACCACCAAAAUUAAGGGUAAAAGUCAUGUCAUACAGCUAAAGAUAGUACAAAACCACGGGGGCGGGGAGGGGGGUGCAUUUCAUUUAUAAAAGAAAAGCGAAUGAAAACUACACAGAGGAUCUGGAGAGAUGGCUCAGAGGGCAAAGCACAAGAGAUCAGAUCCCCAGUGCCUACAUGCAAUGCUCGCAUGGUGGUAUGCAUCUGCAGCCCCAACUCUCAGGAAAUCACACAGGGGGAUCCCUGACGUCUGCUGGCUAGCCAGCCUAGCCCUCGAGAGAGAAAGAGCCUGCCUCAAAACACACACACACACACACACACAUACACAGAGAGGCAGAUGAACAAAACCAGAGGGGCUGGCAAGGUGGCUCAGUGGGCUAGGGAGCCUGGUAUACGCAGCUGCAAAUAACCAAAGACCCUGCCUCAAACACGGUAAGGAUUGACCUCCAAGGCUGUCUGCGACCUCACCCUGUUAUACAGUACACACUGGUGUACCUGUACUCACAUACUUGAACACAUAUGCACAUACACAGUACACACACAUACAAGUGCAUGUUUCAAAAAAAAUAUUUUUAAAAAAUACAAGGUUGAUGGCUCCUGAGAAACCACACCUACAGGUGACCUUAGGCUUCCAUGCAACUGUACACCUGCACACACUUAGCAUCGCACACACAAGCAUCUCUCUCUCUCUCUCUCUCUCUCUCGCUCGCUCGCUCGCUCGCUCGCUCGCUCGCACAUGGACACACAUCCUACAUACAGGCGUUUUACAAGCUUAAGAAAGAUUAGCAAAGAUCACAAAUUUUGGCAAAACCUUGGGCAUGAUUUGGGUCGCCGGGCUCUCUGACAGAACAGACGUGGGUAUAAACUGGCAGACAUUCUAGAGAGGAUGACAAAAUACAAUGCCAAAUUACAACUGUUCCAGUAACUCGCUUCUAGAAAGUGUUCUUGCAGCUAUACCUGUCUGUAUAAAACUGUAUGUGUAUAAUAAAAAUAAAUUGUGCGAUGUUCAUGUAAUAG